UCACAAUAUUGCCAGCUGUCAACACCAAUCACAGCAACAGUUCGGAUUAUUCGGGCGUUAUAUCUGGGGAAAAAAACGCAAACCGUUCGAUCAGGUUGGUCUUUAAAGUAUUACUAUAUCCAUGCUGUUUGCCAUGCUGACAUCGGAAAGAUCCACAAACCUACAACUUGUAAACUAAAAACAUUUUUUUUAUAAAUAGCAUGUAUCUGGACUUAUUAAUACUUGGUUCAAGCGCACACAGAUUACAAAAUGAAAAAAAAAAGUUUUGUUUUUGGUGGAUUUUAAUGUCUUCCAAAUGUGGACGCCUGAGGAUUUACAUAUUGACAAAGCAUUUCUAUUCCAUUUGUACAACGGCAGUUUGUUACUCUCAAGUGGAACUGGAACAGCUUGCUAUUCACGAGGCUAUAAAAUGGUACGUAUUCGACAUGACAAAAUCCUGACCAGCCACAGAAAAAAAACCCCAUACAACUGAAAGCUGUGACCUUUCUUUUUGUAUUUUAUUUACUAAUACUCAUCAAGCAGGGUCCCUAUUAUAAACUUAUUUAUGUUGUACACAACGAGGAACAGCAAUGUCAUUGGACAAGCACCAAGUAUAACCACUUUUUCUCUCAUCCCAGACCUGACCAACCAC
This is a long non-coding RNA of Pomacea canaliculata, 631 nucleotides long. RefSeq lists it as uncharacterized. Lineage: Eukaryota; Metazoa; Mollusca; Gastropoda; Architaenioglossa; Ampullariidae. The record is from RefSeq and is a predicted model, not a curated record. The transcript is spliced from 2 exons.